RNAcentral lists this ribosomal RNA (447 nucleotides) under uncultured bacterium. Its description in RNAcentral is "bacterial SSU rRNA". It matches the Rfam family "Bacterial small subunit ribosomal RNA", at positions 355 to 825 of the family's 1533-position model. The record is from RNAcentral.
UGGGGAAUCUUGGACAAUGGGCGCAAGCCUGAUCCAGCCAUGCCGCGUGAGUGACGAAGGCCUUAGGGUUGUAAAGCUCUUUCGUCGGGGACGAUAAUGACGGUACCCGAAGAAGAAGCUCCGGCUAACUUCGUGCCAGCAGCCGCGGUAAUACGAAGGGAGCUAGCGUUGUUCGGAAUCACUGGGCGUAAAGCGCACGUAGGCGGAUAGUUAAGUCAGGGGUGAAAUCCUGGGGCUCAACCCCAGAACUGCCUUUGAUACUGGCUGUCUCGAGGUCGAGAGAGGUUGGUGGAAUUCCUAGUGUAGAGGUGAAAUUCGUAGAUAUUCGGAAGAACACCAGUGGCGAAGGCGGCUCACUGGACUGGUAUUGACGCUGAGGUGCGAAAGCGUGGGGAGCAAACAGGAUUAGAUACCCUAGUAGUCCCUGAGCGGGCUGGCAAGGCGCAU